Molecule: RNA transcript, 2000 nt
Organism: Lotus japonicus
Lineage: Eukaryota; Viridiplantae; Streptophyta; Magnoliopsida; Fabales; Fabaceae
Gene name: protein TPX2-like
Exons: 17
Source: RefSeq, a predicted model, not a curated record
GCCAUUGCCAUGUUUUUCUCUUCUUCCCCUCUAAUCUAUCACCAACGAAAUCUUCGCCAUUCUCUACGACAGCAUUUUCUCUUCUAUUCAAUUCAAUUCAAUUAUCAUUAUUACUCCAUACCUUCAUCAUCACUCAAAAUUAAAUAAAAAAGGAAAAUUAAUUAAGCAAUCAAUUAAUAAAGUAAUUAAUAUUCCAACUUUCUCUCUCGUUUUCCGGGAAAAUUUAACUACGCCGAAUUUUCCCAGAAACGAGAGAGGCGGGUACGGGAUCAUGGUAGUGAGGCUCUGAAGAUAGAGAAGAAUUUGAGAGAGAGAGAGCAGCAUGGAAGAAGAGUUUGAUAAGGUUCAAGUUUCAGACCCGUCUAUGUGCGGGGAUGAUCAUAAUGAAAUUGAUCUUGAUUAUGAAUUCGACGCUCCUCGGUUCUUCGAUUUCACCCGGCCGGAGACGUUUUGGGAUGCUGAUGAAGCACAACAAUGGUUCGAAUUCGCCGCGAGUUACCCGCCUUCACCGUUUCUGGAGAAGUUGAGAUGGGGAAAUGCUGGUGCAAUGGAAAAUGUGAAUAUUGUUGCUAAUGAUGAUUCUGGUCCUUGUGUGAAUCCAGAACAAGGACUUGAAUAUUGCAAUGCAACAAUGCAAGAUACGUUAAAUGGUAACACAAAGCUUCUCAGCAAGUCAAGUUCUUUAAAAUCUAAAGUUUUCACUUUCAUGAAACCAACAGCAAGUCAUUUAGCCAAGCAGAAGAAUGCUCCAGAAGUCCAACCCCCUCGAUAUUUCAGAAGGCUUCAGAAACAGAAUUCUUCCAUAGAUGGAGAAUUGACCAAAAGACAGAAGCUUGAAGCUGGUUACUUGCAAAAGGUUGCUCGUCUUAAGCAUCAAACUCUCUUUACACAUAAGAAAACCAAGGAGGUUGAUCGUAAGCCAAACGUUACUAUUCCUAGAGAACCUAAUUUGGUAACAGCCAGCAGGGCACAAAGACACAAGUCUAGAACUAAUGUUGAGUCAGUUAAACAUACAAAAUCAAGUUCUCGGGUGAUUAAAGCACAAUCCUUAAGUAAAAAGGUUUUGGAGGGUCUGGCACAACCCUUUCGCAAGAUGAAAACACCACAACCAACAGAAUUUCAAGUAUUCCACUUGAAAACAUCAGAGAGGGCACUGCAGCACGCAGCAUCUAGUAAUGCCGGAGGUACAUUGAAUUGCAAUUCUCUCUCAAAUAGUGAAACAAAGGAUCUCAAAAGGACAAAAUCUAGUGUUGGCUCAAGGCAGGAAAAAUGUAAAAUGAUUAGCAAACUCCGAGGUAGCCUUGAUGAUAGGAAACUCUCAAGUAAAAGGGAAAGAGGAGUCUUCAGAAAUAUCAAAGUAUUUCCAGUGGAACCAAAUGACGAGAGAUUUGAAAAUGAACUACCAACUGAAUUAUUUAGCAAGCUAUCCCUGGCUUCUGAAGCCAAAAAAACAACAAAAUCACCAUCAGUGGAGCAGCCAAUUUCUAAGGGUUUGAAGGAGAAUAGACCAGAAUCCUUGCGGCAGAAGCAUGAGGUAUGUUAGGAAGAUGAAUUUGAUCAGAGAAGAAAUUCAGAGACUAUGCACGAAGCAGUAUCAAUGUGAGUGAAAUGGGCUCUCUCAUGCCAAACCAAACCUGUAUGCUGGAACUUGGACAUUAGCUGAAAACAAGUGGUGGUUCUUCUGAUUGGUAUUCAUUAGUCUAGAUACAUUUUGCUUAAAAUUCUAUAAAAAAAUCCCCUCAAUAAUUGGAUACUCAACUGUAAGUUAUAUUGGAAACCAUCCCAAAGGGUUCUUGGGAAAUGAUUCUAAAGCAAAAAGAUUAUUUAGGGAAGAAUUUCUAAGAUGGAACCUAAUACCUUCAUUGCACAACAAAGCUUCAGACUCUUGGAAUUUCUUCCUCUUUUCCUUUUCUAUCAAGCUGUGUAUAAAGAAUGGUACCAAAUGUAAUAUCAAUGUGGUCAAGUUUGAGGAAUAAAAAUACUAGUAAAUUGCUGCUGGC